CAGCACCUCAAGUGGUCAGGAUGAUUAUUGGGCCUAAAGCAUCCGUAGCCGGCGCUGUAAGUUUUCGGUUAAAUCUGUACGCUCAACGUACAGGCUGCCGGGAAUACUGCAGCGCUAGGGAGUGGGGGAGGUAGACGGUACUCGGUAGGAAGGGGUAAAAUCCUUUGAUCUAUUGAUGACCACCUGUGGCGAAGGCGGUCUACCAGAACACGUCCGACGGUGAGGGAUGAAAGCUGGGGGAGCAAACCGGAUUAGAUACCCGCGUAGUCC
This 270-nucleotide ribosomal RNA is filed under the name uncultured archaeon. Its description in RNAcentral is "partial 16S ribosomal RNA". It matches the Rfam family "Archaeal small subunit ribosomal RNA", at positions 477 to 747 of the family's 1478-position model. The record is from RNAcentral.